AAGUCGUAACAAGGUUUCCGUAGGUGAACCUGCGGAAGGAUCAUUACCGAGUUAGGGUCUUCCAGGCCCGACCUCCAACCCUGUGUUUAAUCUACCAUGUUGCUUUGGCGGGUCCGCCCCUCGGGGCCGCCGGGGGCUUUACCGCUCCUGGCCAGCGCUCGCCAGUAGCCUAUCCAAAAUUCUUUUUAACUGUGUUGUCUGAGUAUAAAUAUAAAUCGUUAAAACUUUCAACAACGGAUCUCUUGGUUCUG
This 251-nucleotide unclassified non-coding RNA is filed under the name Chaetothyriales sp. RNAcentral's name for it is "partial contains small subunit ribosomal RNA, internal transcribed spacer 1, and 5.8S ribosomal RNA". The stretch from base 1 to 46 matches the Rfam family "Eukaryotic small subunit ribosomal RNA", at positions 1786 to 1831 of the family's 1831-position model. The record is from RNAcentral. Lineage: Eukaryota; Fungi; Ascomycota; Eurotiomycetes; Chaetothyriales.